This is a long non-coding RNA of Aricia agestis (brown argus), 325 nucleotides long. RefSeq lists it as uncharacterized. The transcript is spliced from 2 exons. The record is from RefSeq and is a predicted model, not a curated record. Lineage: Eukaryota; Metazoa; Arthropoda; Insecta; Lepidoptera; Lycaenidae.
AGGCAAAUAUCUUUUAACAAAAAAAGGCAUUAUUUAAGUAAUUAAAACACAAAAUAUUAUUAAUCUUCUCUUUAUAAACUAACAGAACUAGACAAUUAGACAUCUUUGGCGCAAAGAUAAAAAAAAUAAACAUAAAAAAUAAAGUCUUAUUCCUUCUAUGAAAAAAUCAACUAAGUAUUUGUUCUCUUCUCUCAUAUUUUAAAACAAAUAAGAUAACUUUUUAACUCAGUUUUAAUUAUACUAGGAUAAGAUGUCUUAUCUACCGGGGUGAUGAUACAAAAUCGAAUCCAUCAGGAAACGCAAGAUACGAAUCUCAAAAUAAAAC